This is a long non-coding RNA of Oncorhynchus tshawytscha (Chinook salmon), 531 nucleotides long. Lineage: Eukaryota; Metazoa; Chordata; Actinopteri; Salmoniformes; Salmonidae. The record is from Ensembl.
CACCCACCCACCCCCACACACACACACACACACCUCUCCAAGCGUACCCGGCUCCACGAGGAGGUAAAAAGGGGCUCAGCCCCCUUCAGGGUUAGUUGUAUGUCCUUUAUAUAAAAAUAGUAAGAAAGUUCAAAUGAUUGAGUGACAGGUUGGCACAAGAUGUGUAAUCUGUAAUCUGCUUCAGCCUGUCAUUCAGAUAUAAUGUCCAUACAGUCCUCCUCCUCCUCCUCUGGGACUCACUGUACACGUUCUUAAAGAAACAGUGACUUCCAACAGUGACUUCCAACAGUAGUUUCCAACAGUGACUUCCAACAGUGACUUCCAACAGUGACUUCCAACAGUGACUUCCAACAGUAGUUUCCAACAGUGACUUCCAACAGUGACUUCCAACAGUGACUUCCAACAGUGACUUCCAACAUGAGUUUCCAACAGUAGUUUCCAACAGUGACUUCCAACAGUGAUUUCCAACAGUGACUUCCAACAGUGACUUCCAACAGUGACUUCCAACAGUGACUUCCAACAGUGACUUCC